GUAAGGGAGGAGGUGGUAGUAAAGAAACCUUUAGACUGAAAAAUGUAAAGAUACAAUAUGAAAGGAGAAAAAAAACAACAAAAGAACCCACCAUGGAAGUUUCAACCCACCACCACCACAUGGUGCCAAAAACUUCAAAAUGGAACAUUUCUUAUAUUGGCACAUAUUUUUGUGAGAACAAACAUAUGGUUGUGAGCAUAUUCUUACCUUCAUUGUGAUCUGCAUAUUUCCUCUCUGCAGGAAAAUUUAAAUGCACUGUUGACAUCGUUUUAUAGUCACAUAAGAAGAAAGCAGGCAAAGAAAUGUUAUGAUUGGACUUAUUCAUGAGAUACCACAGUCUCUAAUAUAUGAAGUUUUUCAUAUUUACACUACUGGUGAAUCUCUAGUUGUAUACCUGCCUCUGUGGUCUCAUUGUUGGUCCCUAGGAUAGCUUAUAAAUAAAAACAGAUGAUACUGUCUACUGGCCAGAACAAGCUCACAACUCACUUUCUACUCCAUUCUCAAGUGACUAUGUAGAGAAAGAUGGAUGGUUGAGGUCAGGAUUUGGAGUUCUCUGGCUAACUGCAUAUUAACUUUGUUAUCAUCGCCAAUAUUAUCACCUGACAGAGAAACAGACUUGAUGGAUUUGGGCUUUAGCCCUGACUUCAUCACAAAUAAACAGUGUCAUCUUGGAUGCUAAAAAAAAAAAAAAA
RNAcentral lists this long non-coding RNA (692 nucleotides) under Homo sapiens (human). Its description in RNAcentral is "long independently transcribed non-coding RNA 2711 (LINC02711)". Lineage: Eukaryota; Metazoa; Chordata; Mammalia; Primates; Hominidae. The record is from RNAcentral.